Long non-coding RNA from Danio rerio (zebrafish), 1955 nucleotides. The record is from Ensembl. NCBI's taxonomy places the organism in Eukaryota, Metazoa, Chordata, Actinopteri, Cypriniformes, Danionidae.
AUGAUGAAUGGAACCUUCCAAAUCAUCCGCCUUUAUUUCGCCGAGUUCACGAGCUACGACUGGAUUUCCUGGUUCACGCUGAAACUGAGUCCGGUCCUUUCCAGCUUGACUGCAGAGAUGCUCCAGACAGUAACAUCAUAUACCGACUGUGACGCAUACCACAUCAUCGUCGGGGCUCUGAGCAGCCACUUUGAGCAGAUGACAUCGCUGAGACAGCAGGAGCUCACCGCAGUCCUGUUGGGCUACCUAAAGCAGAGUCAGGCAUCAGGUAGGUCCAGCAUAGGCAGAGCUUGUUUGUCUUGUGGGCUAAAUAAAAUAUCAAUUCUUGGUGUCUGUGCAUCUUCGUCCGUCCUAACGAGUCUCUUUUGCACGUCCCUGUCGCAGGCUCAACCUGUGGGUCCGACACCAGCAGCCUCAGUGUUUGGCUUGAAGAGAGCUUUGGCAAAUUCUCUGUCUACGUGGACUACCAAGACCUGCGUGCACUCAACGAGGCAUUUGGAAGUGUAAGGGGCCCACCGUGCCACUUGGUUGUUCUGGUGACUGCUUUGACCAAGCACGUUGUUUCUACAGACGUUGUUGUUGUUGUUUUCUCUUCUGCAGUUCCAGGCACUGGACCUUCUGAGUGCCUCUCAAGUUGCUCAGCUGACCCUAACAUCUGGAGCGCUGAACAACGCAGAUCUGAUCACCAUGGUCUUUGAGCGUCUUGACGGCAGCAAUGCUUUCCAGGAUGUGGACCAGUUCUUGACGGUUCUCACCCAGACCUCGCAGGUACGUUCCCAUCCAUGAGAUGGCAAGCGCGCAGCUGUUCCGCUUUGUUUAGGAAAUUGUUAAAACAAGAUAGCCCGGGACAUUUUGUGUUGUACUCUGAAAUGGGAAUGUUGCCUUUCCUUUUGUUUGACCAUGAUUUUAGUACCCGACCCUGACCGUAGCCCAACAUAGCCCAAGAGUUUCUGUUGCGUACUCGGUGAUGGAAACAUUUGCUUUUCUCUUUGCUUUUCAUCACCUCUAGGUUUUGAACAUCAGCCCUGUGGUGAGAGACAUCAUGAUGAAUGGAACCUUCCAAAUCAUCCGCCUUUAUUUCGCCGAGUUCACGAGCUACGACUGGAUUUCCUGGUUCACGCUGAAACUGAGUCCAGUCCUUUCCAGCUUGACUGCAGAGAUGCUCCAGACAGUAACAUCAUAUACCGACUGCAACGCAUACCACAUCAUGUACGUAACGCUUUCCAUAUGCUAGCCAGCUCUGCAAUGUUUUCAGUUUUCUGCGUCAUGCUUAGAUUUCUUCUGCCGUGUUUUGAUCCAAUCUAGCGUCGGGGCUCUGAGCAGCCACUUUGAGCAGAUGACAUCGCUGAGACAGCAGGAGCUCACCGCAGUCCUGUUGGGCUACCUAAAGCAGAGUCAGGCAUCAGGUAGGUCCAGCAUAGGCAGCGCUUGUUUGUCUUGUGGGCUAAAUAAAAUAUCAAUUCUUGGUGUCUGUGCAUCUUCGUCCGUCCUAACGAGUCUCUUUUGCACGUCCCUGUCGCAGGCUCAACCUGUGGGUCCGACACCAGCAGCCUCAGUGUUUGGCUUGAAGAGAGCUUUGGCAAAUUCUCUGUCUACGUGGACUACCAAGACCUGCGUGCACUCAACGAGGCAUUUGGAAGUGUAAGGGGCCCACCGUGCCACUUGGUUGUUCUGGUGACUGCUUUGAGCAAGCACGUUGUUUCUACAGACGUUGUUGUUGUUGUUUUCUCUUCUGCAGUUCCAGGCACUGGACCUUCUGAGUGCCUCUCAAGUUGCUCAGCUGACCCUAACAUCUGGAGCGCUGAACAACGCAGAUCUGAUCACCAUGGUCUUUGAGCGUCUUGACGGCAGCAAUGCUUUCCAGGAUGUGGACCAGUUCUUGACGGUUCUCACCCAGACCUCGCAGGUACGUUCCCAUCCAUGAGAUGGCAAGCGCGCAGCUGUUCCGCUUUGUU